This 76-nucleotide transfer RNA is filed under the name bacterium. RNAcentral's name for it is "tRNA-Lys". It matches the Rfam family "tRNA". Rfam says of the family: Transfer RNA (tRNA) molecules are approximately 80 nucleotides in length. The record is from RNAcentral.
GGGCCGUUAGCUCAGCUGGUAGAGCAUCAGAUUUUUAAUCUGGGGGUCGCAGGUUCGAGCCCUGCACGGCUCACCA